RNAcentral lists this ribosomal RNA (279 nucleotides) under uncultured Staphylococcus sp. RNAcentral describes it as "partial 16S ribosomal RNA". It matches the Rfam family "Bacterial small subunit ribosomal RNA", at positions 83 to 354 of the family's 1533-position model. Lineage: Bacteria; Bacillati; Bacillota; Bacilli; Caryophanales; Staphylococcaceae. The record is from RNAcentral.
CCUUUGACGUUAGCGGCGGACGGGUGAGUAACACGUGGGUAACCUACCUAUAAGACUGGGAUAACUUCGGGAAACCGGAGCUAAUACCGGAUAAUAUUUCGAACCGCAUGGUUCGAUAGUGAAGGAUGGUUUUGCUAUCACUUAUAGAUGGACCCGCGCCGUAUUAGCUAGUUGGUAAGGUAACGGCUUACCAAGGCGACGAUACGUAGCCGACCUGAGAGGGUGAUCGGCCACACUGGAACUGAGACACGGUCCAGACUCCUACGGGAGGCAGCAGGG